AGAGUUUGAUCCUGGCUCAGAUUGAACGCUGGCGGAAUGCUUUACACAUGCAAGUCGAACGGCAGCACGGGAGCUUGCUCCUGGUGGCGAGUGGCGAACGGGUGAGUAAUACAUCGGAACAUGCCUAGUCGUGGGGGAUACCGUAGCGAAAGUUACGUUAAUACCGCAUACGUCCUGAGGGAGAAAGCAGGGGAUUCGCAAGAACCUUGCGCGAUUAGAGUGGCCGAUGCCUGAUUAGCUAGUUGGUGAGGUAAUGGCUCACCAAGGCGACGAUCAGUAGCGGGUCUGAGAGGGUGAUCCGCCACACUGGAACUGAGACACGGUCCAGACUCCUACGGGAGGCAGCAGUGGGGAAUUUUGGACAAUGGGGGCAACCCUGAUCCAGCCAUUCCGCGUGAGUGAAGAAGGCCUUCGGGUUGUAAAGCUCUUUCAGCGGGAACGAAACGGUGCGCUCUAACAUAGCGUAUUAAUGACGGUACCCGCAGAAGAAGCACCGGCUAACUACGUGCCAGCAGCCGCGGUAAUACGUAGGGUGCGAGCGUUAAUCGGAAUUACUGGGCGUAAAGCGUGCGCAGGCGGCUUUUUAAGCCAGACGUGAAAUCCCCGGGCUUAACCUGGGAAUGGCGUUUGGAACUGGAAGGCUAGAGUGUGUCAGAGGGGGGUAGAAUUCCACGUGUCGCAGUGAAAUGCGUAGAGAUGUGGAGGAAUACCGAUGGCGAAGGCAGCCCCCUGGGAUAACACUGACGCUCAUGUACGAAAGCGUGGGUAGCAAACAGGAUUAGAUACCCUGGUAGUCG
RNAcentral lists this ribosomal RNA (797 nucleotides) under uncultured bacterium. RNAcentral describes it as "bacterial SSU rRNA". It matches the Rfam family "Bacterial small subunit ribosomal RNA", at positions 8 to 796 of the family's 1533-position model. The record is from RNAcentral.